Long non-coding RNA from Corticium candelabrum, 534 nucleotides. RefSeq lists it as uncharacterized. NCBI's taxonomy places the organism in Eukaryota, Metazoa, Porifera, Homoscleromorpha, Homosclerophorida, Plakinidae. The transcript has 4 exons. The record is from RefSeq and is a predicted model, not a curated record.
ACGAGAUAGUACUGUUCAUUUCUCUCGUGAUCUUGUGUACUCUGUGCGGUGUCCCAGUUAGCAUCUCAAGGAACUCAGAAUGGCAGAUGGUAGACCGCUGGCAGUGGGAGUCCCCUAUAGCAGAGUCACAUCAGAGUCCGGUCACGUGACCACUCACGAAAACACUGCUCUUUCGAGCUACCGGUACCUUGCAUGGUUCACUAUCUUCUGCUGUUCUGGGCCGCUCGGAGGCGCGAGAGUUUUCAAAGAGGAGAUAUUGCCAGGGGUAACAAGGCUGCUCGAACUUCUCGGGUUCUCUGCAUUGUGGGCAUUGCUAUUGGUAUAGAAAUCUAUCUUACAGCGAUUAUCGUCGUGACUAUUAGUUUUUACUAUAAAAUUAAAAACGAGAACCAUGACGAUAACAAUUACUAGCAUUACAAAACCUUCUGACUGGUUGUGACCGUUGAGAAACGGAUAGAAUCUAUGUUUUACUAUUUUUAGUGCAAUACUUUUCGUUGUUUGUGUUGUUAUGUUUCUUGUUGCAGCUUGCUAUUA